CAUUUCUCUAGCCAAGACUAAAUUCAGAUUUUAAAAAGCAAUUGAAAACCUAAAACUUCUCAUUUUUGCUCCAUGAAUGCCGAUCACCAUCACCAUCACUUAGUUCAUCAUUUGUUUCAUGGAAUUUGAUGAUGUUAGAGGCCAAAUGAUCAUAAGACAAUGAGGAACCAAGGUGGAAAGUUAUGGUUUUUGGAGCUAAUUUUGGAGUUUUGAUGAUGAAUUCUUGAAGAAAUUGGUUUGGCCAAGAGGUUAAAUUAUCAAGCUCAAGGGAUAGCAUGAUAUUAUUUGGAAAGUCAAGCUUCCGAAGUUUUAAUUCUCGGAAGUCAUUUGCACAAAAAGUGAAAGAAGGUUUUCAUUCUAGCAGUCCGCAGUAGUCUAGAUGUUUUUGUUUAUGUAUUUGACUAGCGCAUUUUAACUCUGAUAUUUUUGUAAAAUAAGGUCACAUGUAUUUUGAUAUAUGAAAAAAAAUGAUUUGAUU
Mercurialis annua (annual mercury) is the source of this 478-nucleotide long non-coding RNA. RefSeq lists it as uncharacterized. The transcript has 3 exons. The record is from RefSeq and is a predicted model, not a curated record. NCBI's taxonomy places the organism in Eukaryota, Viridiplantae, Streptophyta, Magnoliopsida, Malpighiales, Euphorbiaceae.